This 301-nucleotide ribosomal RNA is filed under the name uncultured bacterium. Its description in RNAcentral is "partial 16S ribosomal RNA". It matches the Rfam family "Bacterial small subunit ribosomal RNA", at positions 509 to 809 of the family's 1533-position model. The record is from RNAcentral.
CAGUAGCCGCGGUAAUACGGAGGAUCCAAGCGUUAUCCGGAUUUAUUGGGUUUAAAGGGUGCGUAGGUGGCCUGUUAAGUCAGGGGUGAAAGACGGUAGCUCAACUAUCGCAGUGCCCUUGAUACUGAUGGGCUUGAAUGAACUAGAGGUAGGCGGAAUGUGACAAGUAGCGGUGAAAUGCAUAGAUAUGUCACGGAACACCAAUUGCGAAGGCAGCUUACUAUGGUUUGAUUGACACUGAGGCACGAAAGCGUGGGGAUCAAACAGGAUUAGAUACCCCAGUAGUCCCUGUCUCUUAUAU